Molecule: non-coding RNA, 685 nt
Organism: Ictidomys tridecemlineatus (thirteen-lined ground squirrel)
Lineage: Eukaryota; Metazoa; Chordata; Mammalia; Rodentia; Sciuridae
Source: RefSeq, a predicted model, not a curated record
GUCAUGAUAUUAGAAUGAAGGCCUUUAAAGAGUGAGCAGUCAAGGGCAAAGCCCUUGUAAUUAGGAUUAGUAGGUUUUUUGUUUUUGUUUUUGUUUUUGUUUUUGAAGAAACUUCAGAGAGCUAGCUGGUCCCUUCCACUAUCUAUUAGUUGCAAGACAAGAACCCAGAAAGAAGUUGGUGGUGAGCUGUUGGAGUCUCCCCAACACCAAAAGCAAAGAAACUGCUGAGUGGAGAACGAAAAAAUCUGGAGAAUAGAGAAAAGGAGAAACUGUCAACUAUAAGUAACUUCUAAAGAGACAGACAAAUGAAUGGGGGACUGUAGUGGUCACUUGCUUGCAUGGUGGAUGAAUAAAGAAAGUAAUUGUAGUUGUGCUCACUCCUCUUUCCCCCUGUUGCUUUCAGAGUGCCCAAUUUAGAAAUCUUUGCAAAAGUUCUGGCCAGUAUACUUGUCCUUUAUGGUUAAACCAAGAUGAUUUCAGAAUCUACUGCAGAUUUUUGGAAUCCUGGAAUACUGUCCCCUGUUCAAGCCAUUGUUCCCUUCUCCAAAUCCUAAGGACUAGGGGAUCAUAAUUUAGGCUUCAUAUCAUACGAUGUUACCCUUCUUUAGUCCAUUUUAUUGUUGCUGAUAACACAAUACCACAGACUGGUUAAAUAAUAAAGAAAAGAGUUCUCUUUGGCUCAUGA